GUAGGUGGCAAGCGUUGUCCGGAAUUAUUGGGCGUAAAGCGCGCGCAGGCGGUUCUUUAAGUCUGAUGUGAAAGCCCACGGCUCAACCGUGGAGGGUCAUUGGAAACUGGAGAACUUGAGUACAGAAGAGGAAAGCGGAAUUCCACGUGUAGCGGUGAAAUGCGUAGAGAUGUGGAGGAACACCAGUGGCGAAGGCGGCUUUCUGGUCUGUAACUGACGCUGAGGCGCGAAAGCGUGGGGAGCAAACAGGGAUUAGAUACCCUGGUAGUCUACGCCGUAAACGAUGAGUGCUAAGUGUUAGGGGGUUUCCGCCCCCUUAGUGCUGCAGCUAACGCAUUAAGCACUCCGCCUGGGGAGUACGGCCGCAAGGCUG
Molecule: ribosomal RNA, 373 nt
Filed under: uncultured organism
Description: partial 16S ribosomal RNA
Rfam family: Bacterial small subunit ribosomal RNA
Source: RNAcentral